This 286-nucleotide small nuclear RNA is filed under the name Carlito syrichta (Philippine tarsier). Its description in RNAcentral is "7SK RNA (ENSTSYG00000025127.2)". It matches the Rfam family "7SK RNA". Rfam says of the family: 7SK was discovered as an abundant small nuclear RNA in the mid-70s but a possible function has only recently been suggested. Lineage: Eukaryota; Metazoa; Chordata; Mammalia; Primates; Tarsiidae. The record is from Rfam by way of RNAcentral.
GGUUGGGGAGGAGAAAUAUGUAUACAAAUGAAAAAUCUCCUUCCUUCCCACUUCCUGCACAUCCCUCGCGAAGCUGUGUGCUUAGUUGAGGAUGACUGAGCUCAGUUGAAGAGCUCUGUCAUCCUCACUAGAGGAGGACAGUUCUUCUUCAGUCAAAGGAAUACGAGUAGUUGCACCUCUCUGCUAGAAACUCCAAACAAGCUCUCAAGGUCCAAAUGAAGAAGCAAAGGUGGUAUGGGAAAGAAGAACCAGGAAAAACAUAUUCAAGUCGACUAGGAGAAGUCUU